GAUUACUCAACUCUGUCUCAAAUUGUACUCAACUGGAGAUCUGCCGAAAUUGAAAAUUAUCUACUUGUGUUUAUUGAGUAUCACUUCUGCUAACUAAUGUUUUAUUUACUAACGAUUGUUUAUACAUUUUCUUAGCUUGUAGUUAUACUGUAUUAAACUCAGUUGAACAUUUUCAAAUAUUAAUGCUUCUGCAAUUUUAAAAUCACAGAAAAUGAUUAAUAAAUAGGCCCGAAAGUGGAAAAUAAUAUUGUUUUUUGCAGACCAAACAACAUUAGAAAUUUACGUUAUUAACAUAUCAGAUGCAUUUCACUCCACCAUGUUCGUUUGCUGGGAACAAUACUCCUGCCCAUUUGGACCCAAGAAGAGUAGAGUACAUCAAAUCAGGUGCAAUGUUAAACCAAAUCGACAUGGGAGAUUACCAGCCUUUGAGAUCAGAUGACGCUCACACCAACAACCAUGUACCUGUCCACAAUAAGCCCACUGUCUACUAUUCGAAGCCCAUGUCUCCUCUACGAAAGCUGGCCUUCGGCUGUUCCAUUUUGUUGUGCUUCAUUACCAUUGUGGUGUUCUUGUGGGUUGUACCGUGCGACUGGUCCAAGUGUCCAGCUAAAACUCAACGCCAACCAAUUAUGUCUUGGGAUCGCUCUGUGGAAGGAAUGGAAAUAAUGGGACCUUUGAAGGUGGUACGAGGCUUGCAAGGACUAAAUAUAGUAGCUAUGUACCGAGGACCUAUGCUGGCGUAUGAUGGAGCAAGGGAUCAGUUCCUUCCAAAGGCAGGAGGUUUGAUAUCGUUUAUUGGAGCGAGUGGACUUAUAGCCUGGUUCAGAAAACUGCCUUUACUGACUCAUCUGGACUGUUUUAUGCUUCACAUUGGCGAUGAGUCCAUGCAAGAUUGUUUAGUGAGGGGAGAGCACGGCUAUCUGGCACUGAUUGACUCUCUUUCAGGUAUUGCAAAAUGGAGGGCACAAAAAACCAUUGGAGAUCAGCUACUUGUGGACGUGUCAUUUCCCGUGGUGACGCCUGAUGUGGAUGGAGAUUGGUAUCACGACUUAGCAGUUACUGGCCGUCUGGAGAACAGGAACCAUCGCAUCAUUGCUAUUAUUUCUGGCCAAACUGGGUAUAUCAUGGGGAAGCCAAUGGAGGUGGAAGGUUGUACUGAUAUCAACAACCUCACUCUGGACAGAGACUACACAUUGUACUACACAUGCAAGAACAGCACUAGCAAAUUGUUCAGCGAGCGUCAGGUGGCUUUGGUGAAUGCGGUGCAGAUGAUGACAAACCGCUCAGUGGUUCCACACGGAACUGUACCGGUGACAACACGGCACCUUGGCAAUGAGUGGAGUGUCAACGGCUACAGACUCAACCUGGUCAACUCCGGCCACUCACCCUCUGACUAUCAGGUGAGUGUAACAGUGACUGACCACAACAACCAGAGUGUGUGGAGUCCGACCAUGCAACAAACCUACGCUAUGACACCCGUCGUCCUUCACUUCCAGCAGGCCAUCUCAGGCUUCCUGCUCAAGUUCUGGUAUUGGCAUGCACCCCAUGAUCAGAAGAAGGACAAGGAGGGAAACAUAAUGAAUAGCCUGAGUGAACGUGUGGUUUUGGUUACGUUCAAUGCCACCGGGAGCACUCACAUCGUUAAUGCCAGUCAGACCGACAUUGUGCAGCUCUGCUCCAAUCGAACUUGCCAACCCGAGCUGUCCAGCCAAACUGAGUCUUUGUUGAUAGUGGACCUGGAUGAGGAUGGUUCUCAGGAACUGAUCUCUUACCUCGUGACAUUUCAACCUCGGGAAAAGUCUGCUCCUGCCCUACCUUUAUGGAAGCUACAGACCAAGUUGAGGCUGAUACGGCUGGAAUCCGAACUCCCCAAACUGUACGAAGCCAUUCAACGCCACUAAGAGACACAUCCGUUCUCUACCCUUGCUGGUUUCAAGAUUCAAAUCCCUUUAUUUUUUACAUUGGAAUACUGAAGUAAGAGCAGUACUGCCUCAGCACAACCUCUCUUACAAGCUUGCUCCAUAGCAUGUGGCAUUCUACCGUGAGGUUCAUCAGGAUCAGCUCCAUGUUGCAACAACAACAUCCUUAUACAUCUCACAGCAGUGCUCACAUUAUAAUAAUUCAUAGCAGCUAAGCAGGCGCAUAUCGGAUCGGUGUAGCUGAUUAAACUAACUUUACUUACCACUUUUAAGGGACUUCCAUGAUUAAUCAAUGCUAAUAAGAAUUCUAGGGUCUUUUCACCAAAAUUGUACAUCUGCAUCUCAAGCAAAUACGAUAUGGGUGUAAGCAAUGUCAAGCCUUUCUUUCCCCAGUCCUCGUCACGAAUCUCAGGGCAUUGUAGAACAGCUGGAUCAAAAUUUGAUUUCAAUACCUUAACUAAAAACGAUAAAUCUUCCGUGUCAAUAGCAAGACAUAUCAAACUAUCAAUUGUUUUUAUUUUGGAUAUAACUUCAAAAUCUCUAUCCUCAUCGAAUGUGCAGUACUUCAAAAUAAAUUUAUCACUGGUUACCCUGUGUAGUGCAUUAAAUAUAUCAAAAUCUACACAGGAAGUACAUGCAUGAUGAAGAGGUGUAUAAUUGAUAUUAUCUGCAACAUUAGCAUUUGCCCCUUGUGAUAAUAACGCUUCAACAACUGAUAAGUUAUGAGAUUGAACAGCCAACAUUAGAGGAGUACGUCCAUCCUUAUUGCGAAAAUUGAUCAAAUCACGUUGUGUAGAGGAGGUAAAUAAUAGGGUCAAAGUUUUUAAAAGACCACUUUGGCAUGCAAAAUGAAAAGGAAGUUUCCUUCGUCUUCUAAAACAUCAGGAUUAGCAUUGUGCCUCAGAAGAAAAUGACAAAUUUCAUGUAUCAUUUCAUCUUGUUGCACUCGAACCCCUCUUCUAGAGGUGGGAUAAAGAACUGCUUCAUGAAGAGCUGUAUAACCUUUGUAAUCCUGAGCAUUUACUUGCGCUCCAAAUUCCACAAGAAGUUGCACAAUUUUGAAGUUUCCUUUACUACAAGCCACAUUCAGAGGACGAACUUCUUCAAUGUUGGCAAGGUUCACAUCGCACUUUGACUGUUUCAACAACAGAUUCACAGCAUUCAGACAACCAUUCUCGCACGCAAGAAAUAGUGGAGUGUUUCCUAGAAACGUUUGUGAGUUUACAUCAGCAGGAUACCAUUCAACACCUUGUUUGUCCAUUUGCAAAAACCGGUGCAGUUGUAGCCAUGCUACACUUCUUUAACCAGUAAUUUGAUAACAGCUUCAUACACUUUUCUAUGAAGCAGUCUCAUUAAACUCUAUCAAAAGCCAGCUUUUUUGGGAGUUCAUCCAUUAUCAGAUUUAUAGUAACUUAAUUCUACCAAAUUCCAGGCUUGGUGAUUUCUCUUCAUUUGAAUCUUAAAGGUUUUACUCUUAUAAAAGCUUGAAUCUGAUGGUUCACUCCCACUUUUUUUACUCAUUAUUAAUAGGCUUAAUUUAAUUUAAAUAUAAAAUAAAAUAAUAAACUACAACUAAUUAAAUACAGCACAGCUCCAAACAGUACACAAAAAUGCCUUGAUAAAAAAAGCGUUUACCAAACACUUUCAGGAUAAAAUAAGCAUUUUCCCUACUCCAUAUAAUAAAAAAAACAAACAUUUAAUUUUGACCCAGUCCUGCCAACUUCAAAUAUUUGUUAAACAAGCACUAAGAAAAGAGAAACUUCUAUUGUCUUGUUGUCUAGGCUUUACAUUUAAGUUUUCUUUUUGAUGGUGAUUAUAACAAAAUGAGACAUUUUUUAUCCUUUUUGACUUAAGAAACAGAAAUAAAUCACUGAGCUACAGCAUGUAACUGUGUCAAUUUUUCUUCAACUUAUGAAUAUUUAAAUAACUACAAUUUCAAACAUCUUGACUUUCCUGUGUAUCUAUUAAUGUUUACAUGCUGUAAUUAUUAUGCAAACUUUAUUUAAAAAUAUAUAAAUGUAAAACAUACUCACAGAUAAGAGUCAUCGAAAGGUUAGAACUUUUAAUUUUGUACGUUUUUGCUUCAUAGCAAAAUUUAUAACCUUUUAGUAAGUUUUCUUAAAUAUGAUUUUAUAGUGAGAUAUACUUAUCUUACUCAUAUUUAAAAAUUAGUACAGUUUGAUGUGGUUCAGAUUGCUGUGAUCAGCAAAGGAUUGUUAGUAUUUGUUUUAGAUUUAACUAUUAUAAUUAGGAUAUGAAUAAUUUAUUAUUGUUAUGUUUGUUGUUUAUUUAUUAUGAAUGUCGAUUUUAGUAAUCAUAAUGAUUAGAUGUUAAGAAUAUUUUUGAUGAGUUGCUUAGUUUAUAACUAAAAUGAGUAUUUUAAUUUUUCAAAUUAAACUUUAUAACAAACUUAUCAAUUUCUUUGGGAUUGAGACUACAGAUGAGAAUUUAAAACCUUGCCAUGUACGUAUAUUUGUACCCUGCUCUCUUGUAUUGGAUUGUAAAGUAAGGUUAUUGAAUUGGUUAAGAAUGUUUUAAAUAUAUGUGGAGAAAUGGAUGAAAAAGCUUAAAACAUGUUGCCUGUAUGCUUCUCAACAGUAUACUGAUAAAUGGUGCUUUGAUGUGAUGUUCCGAUCUUUUUGUGGUUUUUCGCUUUAAGUGGAACAGCUGUGUAAGAACAAACAGUCCGAGAAGUCCAAUAGUUAUUGGGGCCGCUUUACUUGCUCUAAUAAAUAGAAUAGUUAUAAGUUGUAACUAAUUCUUAUUUUUAAUAAGUUAAUUUAAAAUACUUUUUUGUAUCUUUGUUUUAGUUCAGUGUAAAAUAGACUGUAAGAUCACCACAUGACAAAAAUACCAAGCUGUAAAAAGUUAACACGUAAUAAAUUAUACAUCAUACUACGUACAGUAGAAACAUCUAAUGGUGAACUUUUGAAAAACCACAGUGAUAUUUGGAGCGUUGUUUAAAAAAAAUUUAUAUAAUGCAUUUGUAAGUGUUAGAAAAUUGCUUAAAUGGACAUAACAAGAA
This 4944-nucleotide unclassified non-coding RNA is filed under the name Homalodisca vitripennis (glassy-winged sharpshooter). RNAcentral's name for it is "uncharacterized LOC124364991, transcript variant X3". The record is from RNAcentral. Lineage: Eukaryota; Metazoa; Arthropoda; Insecta; Hemiptera; Cicadellidae.